CAUCCAUAUCACGUUGAAACACCAUUUCCCGUACGAUUACUGAAGUUAAGCAACGUUGAGUUUAGUCAGUACUUAGUUGGGUGACCUUUUGGAAAUACCAGGUGCUAUA
This 109-nucleotide ribosomal RNA is filed under the name Acanthosepion pharaonis. The record is from RNAcentral. Lineage: Eukaryota; Metazoa; Mollusca; Cephalopoda; Sepiida; Sepiidae.